CAAGGAAUUUUCCGCAAUGGACGCAAGUCUGAAGGAGCAACGCCGCGUGCCGGAUGACGGCCUUCGGGUUGUAAACGGCUUUUGGAUGGGACGAUGAUGACGGUACCAUCCGAAUAAGCCCCGGCUAACUCCGUGCCAGCAGCCGCGGUAAGACGGAGGGGGCAAGCGUUGUCCGGACUCACUGGGCGUAAAGGGUGCGCAGGCGGUGCCGUGCGUCGGCGCUGAAAGCGCCCGGCUUAACCGGGCGGGGUGCGGCGAUACGACGGCACUCGAGGCAGGUAGAGGUUGGCGGAAUUCCGGGUGUAGUGGUGAAAUGCGUAGAGAUCCGGAGGAACGUCGGUGGCGUAAGCGGCCAACUGGGCCUGACCUGACGCUGAGGCACGAAAGCGUGGGGAGCGAACC
Molecule: ribosomal RNA, 402 nt
Filed under: uncultured bacterium
Lineage: Bacteria
Description: bacterial SSU rRNA
Rfam family: Bacterial small subunit ribosomal RNA
Source: RNAcentral